Molecule: long non-coding RNA, 2194 nt
Organism: Danaus plexippus (monarch butterfly)
Lineage: Eukaryota; Metazoa; Arthropoda; Insecta; Lepidoptera; Nymphalidae
Exons: 2
Source: RefSeq, a predicted model, not a curated record
AAGCAGCUUCAAUGACGGAUGCAACAUGGAAAUAACUGGCAUCAAUUAUUAUAACAACUUAUUGGUCGUCGUUACUAUUGUUAAAAGUAAAACGAAAUCAAAGAGAAUAGAACUAUGUUUGAAUUCUGGUUUAAAUAUGACGUCUGGACGCACGACAGGGGACUGCAGAGUUCAGCGAGUGCGGAGCAUAAAGAACCUUCGAGAAAUACAAGAACAUUUAGAAGAAUUGAAGUUUCAUUCUAAAAUAUCUGGAACUUUCUGAAACAAGUGACAUUAGAGAUGUCAGCGAGGCUGGCGUCCUGUCUUUAAAAUAAUGAAUUUAUAAUAAAAUCCGAUAUCAGAAGUGGGAUCGCUCCUGUGAUCAGUUACUGCCGGUCUUAGUGUAUUUGUAAAUCCUGAUCCAGCUCAAGAAAAUAAUCAUCCGGAGAACUUGCGUAAUGAAGAACGCUCCUCAGUCUUUCAUGCAAAUGAUGUCAACAAUGCAGAGCGUGACCGAACGUUUGCUACUAAAAAAAAAAACAAGGGAUACGAUUAAAAUUACUAACAAGAUUUUUUGAUCCCGGUGAUAGUGUGUGUGUUCGGGAUUGAUUCAAACGCAUCUUUACGGCUGUAAAUACGUACCAAAUCAGUAACUACGACAUUCGAAUUAAAGCCUUUUAAAGGAGCGAGCUAGAAAGUGUGCAGACGAUUGGUUAGUUGCAACAUCUACACAAGAGGCAUUACGUGAGACCAUAGCUAACAUUUGUUAUUAUCCUUUGAGCUAACCUCGUGUCCAUGAUGUAUUCUGAAGAGAACCAUGAGAUUCUGUAGGGAAGGCUUGUGGUACCGUGACAAGACAAUUAUACACCACAGAUCUGGAGAGCGUGACCUCUGAGCUAAUCGCGUGUUACCCUUGAGCUAACCACGGGUCCUUGAUGUAUCCAUAAGAGAACCAUGAGAUUCCGUAGGGAUGCCUUGUGGAGCCGUGAGAAGACAAGUCUACACCACAGAUGUGGAGAGCGUACCUCUGAACUAAUCGCGUGUUACUCUUGAGCCAACCACAGGUCCUUGCUGUAUCCUUAAGAAUACCAUGAGAUGACGUAGGGAGGCCUUGGGAAGACUUGAGUGGAAAGGUACUCACUCGAUCUAUAAGAACUUGCAUGAUUUUAAUAUCAAACUACUGAGAUUAUUGCUUUAUUUAAAAUUGACAAUAGACAUACUCUUCACAGUAAUAUUUGCAACAUGUCUGGUUAACGGCAGUGCCUCUACAAAAACGAUGCUGUAAUUCAAACGAAAGCAUACUCGACUCCAAAAUCCUGAUCAAAUACAUCUAUUGCGAAUAUAACUAAUUUCUGUUCCUUUUCUGCUAACCGUGGUCAUGCGUUUGAAUCGUGUUUCCGACGGGAAUAAGGAGAUCACGCCGAAUUUUAAUUUAAUACCAACUGUUCCAGGUUUUGAAACGACUACUGAUAUAUUAACCGGAGCAGAUUUAUUACGUGAUAAGAAUACAUGUGGAAAAUUUAGUAUCCUUGCCGAUGUUUUGCACAUACGAACAAGUCAAUUAUGCUUUGACAGUUUAGAUUACAAUUCAACAAUCAGUCCUUUUAAAUCGAAGUAAUGCACCAACACAUUCAAAACAGGAUGGUCGAGGCGGAGAGAAGAUACAAAGCUAGGUUUUUGAGAGGUCGAGCUACGAUUAAAAGAUUCCAGAAGGGAGAUAUAGUAAUAAUAAAAAUAUAACCCCAGAAAUCGGAUAUCCCUAUAUUUAAAAUUUUGUGAACGUGUGAGAAUGAUUAAUAUCUUGUAAAGUGAUUUUAGACAAUGGAUGACUUCGAAAUGUGGCACAUGACCAGCUACGAAUGUGACACUUGACCAGCUACGAUGAGACUUCACAGCAUCUGAGGGACGACACAGAAUUACUAAGCAAGCAGUUAGGUGGACGGUUCGCCUACCUAAUAGUUAUCCGGUGAGCGUAUUUCAUUUUGUUCAAAUUGCUUCAUUCAAACGCAUUACCAUUAAUCAUUGCUAGUAAUGUGAUUAUGUAACACUUACUUUGAGAUAUAUUACUAUAAAAGAUGCAUUUGGCGUGCGGAUCCGAACCAUAACAAAGAAAAAAAAAAAAAAAAAAAAAAAAAAAAAAAAAAAAAUUGUACACGGGUGGAGACGUCUUACGCCAAACAAAUAAAGAAAGAAAAAAAAAAAAAAAAAAAAAAAA